Molecule: ribosomal RNA, 424 nt
Filed under: uncultured prokaryote
Description: bacterial SSU rRNA
Rfam family: Bacterial small subunit ribosomal RNA
Source: RNAcentral
UGGGGAAUCUUAGACAAUGGGGGAAACCCUGAUCUAGUCAUGCCGCGUGAGUGAUGAAGGCCCUAGGGUCGUAAAGCUCUUUCGCCAGGGAUGAUAAUGACAGUACCUGGUAAAGAAACCCCGGCUAACUCCGUGCCAGCAGCCGCGGUAAUACGGAGGGGGUUAGCGUUGUUCGGAAUUACUGGGCGUAAAGCGCACGUAGGCGGACUAUUAAGUGAGGGGUGAAAUCCCGGGGCUCAACCCCGGAACUGCCUCUCAUACUGGUAGUCUUGAGUUCGAGAGAGGUGAGUGGAAUUCCGAGUGUAGAGGUGAAAUUCGUAGAUAUUAGGAAGAACACCGGUGGCGAAGGCGGCCAUCUGGUCCGGCACUGACGCUGAGGCGCGAAAGCGUGGGGAGCAAACAGGAUUAGAUACCCCCGUAGUCC